Molecule: ribosomal RNA, 532 nt
Filed under: uncultured bacterium
Lineage: Bacteria
Description: bacterial SSU rRNA
Rfam family: Archaeal small subunit ribosomal RNA
Source: RNAcentral
AGUGAAUAGAUACCCAGGUAGUCCUAGCCGUAAACGAUACUCGCUAGGCGUCGGCCACGGUGCGACCGUUGUCGGUGCCGUAGGGAAAGCCGUGAAGCGAGCCACCUGGGAAGUACGGCCGCAAGGCUGAAACUUAAAGGAAUUGGCGGGGGAGCACCACAACGGGUGGAGCUUGCGGUUUAAAUUGGAUUCAACGCCGGAAAUCUUACCGGGACCGACAGCAACAUGAAGGCCAGGCUGAAGACUUUACCGGAUUAGCUGAGAGGUGGUGCAUGGCCGUCGUCAGUUCGUACUGUGAAAGCAUCCUGUUAAGUCAGGCAACGAGCGAGACCCACGCCACAGUUGCCAGCGUACUCUCCGGAGUGACGGGUACACUGUGGGGGUCCGCCGCUGCUAAACGCGGAGGAAGGAAUGGGCAACGGUAGGUCAGUAUGCCCCGAAUAUCCCGGGCUACACGCGAGCUACAAUGGUUGGUACAAUGGGUAUCUACCCCGAAAGGGGUAUGGAAAUCUCCUAAAGCCAAUCUUAGUUC